UAUACAGGUGUUGCAUGGCUGUCGUCAGCUCGUGUCGUGAGAUGUUCGGUUAAGUCCGCUAACGAGCGCAACCCUCGUCGUAUGUUAUAUGUGUCAUACGAGACUGCCGGUAAAAAGCCGGAGGAAGGUGAGGAUGAUGUCAAGUCAGCAUGACCUUUAUAUCCAGGGCUACACACACGCUACAAUGGUCUGUACAAUGGGUAGCCAAGCCGCGAGGCGGAGCCAAUCCUGAAAGCAGGCCUCAGUUCAGAUUGCAGUCUGCAACUCGACUGCAUGAAGCCGGAGUUGCUAGUAACCGCAGGUCAGCAAUACUGCGGUGAAUACGUUCCCGGGUCUU
RNAcentral lists this ribosomal RNA (337 nucleotides) under uncultured Anaerolineaceae bacterium. Its description in RNAcentral is "bacterial SSU rRNA". It matches the Rfam family "Bacterial small subunit ribosomal RNA", at positions 1031 to 1382 of the family's 1533-position model. Lineage: Bacteria; Bacillati; Chloroflexota; Anaerolineae; Anaerolineales; Anaerolineaceae. The record is from RNAcentral.